Molecule: ribosomal RNA, 255 nt
Filed under: Escherichia coli
Lineage: Bacteria; Pseudomonadati; Pseudomonadota; Gammaproteobacteria; Enterobacterales; Enterobacteriaceae
Also listed under: 4 other names
Description: partial 23S ribosomal RNA
Rfam family: Bacterial large subunit ribosomal RNA
Source: RNAcentral
CAGUGUACCCGCGGCAAGACGGAAAGACCCCGUGAACCUUUACUAUAGCUUGACACUGAACAUUGAGCCUUGAUGUGUAGGAUAGGUGGGAGGCUUUGAAGUGUGGACGCCAGUCUGCAUGGAGCCGGCCUUGAAAUACCACCCUUUAAUGUUUGAUGUUCUAACGUGGACCCGUAAUCCGGGUUGCGGACAGUGUCUGGUGGGUAGUUUGACUGGGGCGGUCUCCUCCUAAAGAGUAACGGAGGAGCACGAAGG